RNAcentral lists this ribosomal RNA (253 nucleotides) under uncultured bacterium. RNAcentral's name for it is "partial 16S ribosomal RNA". It matches the Rfam family "Bacterial small subunit ribosomal RNA", at positions 524 to 776 of the family's 1533-position model. The record is from RNAcentral.
UACGUAGGUGGCAAGCGUUGUCCGGAUUUACUGGGCGUAAAGGGCGUGCAGGCGGUUUGUUUAGUCUAGGGUGAAAGCUCCCGGCUUAACUGGGAGAGGUCCUUGGAUACUGGCAAACUUGAGGGAGGCAGAGGAAAGUGGAAUUCCCGGUGUAGUGGUGAUAUGCGUAGAUAUCGGGAGGAACACCAGUGGCGAAGGCGGCUUUCUGGGCCUUACCUGACGCUGAGACGCGAAAGCUAGGGGAGCGAACGGG